AAAGCAGGGAUUGUGUGUAUCGGGGUUGUGCGUGCUACCAUAGGUGCACUUUGUCCGAAAGAUUUCCCUGCGACACCCAUAUGGGGAGGAUGGGCAGUUGCUUUUCAUUCCUUCUAUUGAAACUUUCAAAAAUCAUCUUCUCCACAUUU
This is a small nucleolar RNA of Cornus florida, 149 nucleotides long. RefSeq annotates it as small nucleolar RNA snoR135. The record is from RefSeq and is a predicted model, not a curated record. Lineage: Eukaryota; Viridiplantae; Streptophyta; Magnoliopsida; Cornales; Cornaceae. The transcript has a single exon.